GGGCUUGUGGUCUAGUGGUAUGACAUCUUCUUAGCAUUUUCGGUUUCGACCGAGCGCGAUUGGAGAAGGUCCGGCGUUCAAUUCGCCGCUAGUCCA
Molecule: non-coding RNA, 96 nt
Organism: Delphinella strobiligena
Lineage: Eukaryota; Fungi; Ascomycota; Dothideomycetes; Dothideales; Dothioraceae
Source: the annotation of a GenBank genome assembly